RNAcentral lists this ribosomal RNA (250 nucleotides) under uncultured bacterium. RNAcentral describes it as "partial 16S ribosomal RNA". It matches the Rfam family "Bacterial small subunit ribosomal RNA", at positions 524 to 773 of the family's 1533-position model. The record is from RNAcentral.
UACGUAGGGAGCAAGCGUUGUCCGGAAUUACUGGGCGUAAAGGGUGCGUAGGCGGCUAUGCAAGUCAGAUGUGAAAUCCCCGGGCUUAACUCGGGUGGUGCAUUUGAAACUGCGUGGCUUGAGUGCAGGAGAGGAAAGUGGAAUUCCUAGUGUAGCGGCGGAAUGCGUAGAUAUUAGGAGGAACACCAGUGGCGAAGGCGACUUUCUGGACUGUAACUGACGCUGAGGCACGAAAGCGUGGGGAGCAAAC